GACGAACGCUGGCGGCGUGCUUAACACAUGCAAGUCGAACGGAAAGGCCCUGCUUUUGUGGGGUGCUCGAGUGGCGAACGGGUGAGUAACACGUGAGUAACCUGCCCUUGACUUUGGGAUAACUUCAGGAAACUGGGGCUAAUACCGGAUAGGAGCUCCUGCUGCAUGGUGGGGGUUGGAAAGUUUCGGCGGUUGGGGAUGGACUCGCGGCUUAUCAGCUUGUUGGUGGGGUAGUGGCUUACCAAGGCUUUGACGGGUAGCCGGCCUGAGAGGGUGACCGGCCACAUUGGGACUGAGAUACGGCCCAGACGCCUACGGGAGGCAGCAGUGGGGAAUAUUGCACAAUGGGCGGAAGCCUGAUGCAGCAACGCCGCGUGCGGGAUGACGGCCUUCGGGGUGUAAACCGCUUUCGCCUGUGACGAAGCGUGAGUGACGGUAAUGGAUAAAGAAGCACCGGCUAACUACGUG
RNAcentral lists this ribosomal RNA (468 nucleotides) under uncultured bacterium. Its description in RNAcentral is "partial 16S ribosomal RNA". It matches the Rfam family "Bacterial small subunit ribosomal RNA", at positions 28 to 507 of the family's 1533-position model. The record is from RNAcentral.